UUUUAUAUUUAUUUAUUUAUUUAUUUAUUUAUUUAUUUAUUUUUAUUUAUUUAUUUAUUUAUUUAUUUAUUUAUUUAUUUAUUUAUUUUUCCUUUGUUUUUAGAUCGCAGGAUUGUCUAUGUGGAAAAUCCUGAGGUGUCUACGGGAAAACUAUUAGCGUGGUAACCGGGUCAACAGUAAAACCGUUGUGUUAGUGGAACCAGCAAUAAACGGGUGGAAAGUGAGUUAAGGAACCCCAUUUCGGACCGCAGUGCAUCGUGUCAGGAGCGCGUCCCCGCAGGCUGUGUGGGGUCAGCGCGGGAGCUGCAGAGCCCUGCUGAGCGCAGUCAGCUCAGUGGCCAGAAAGCUCGGGAGCCGCCUCUGUGGGCUGGAGACACAGUGUUCGUGAGCUGACUGUUCUCUCCAGAUUAAUUUAUCCCAACAGCCCGCGUAUAAAACAUGGAAAUUGGCAAGCUGGUUCUAAAAAACAUAUUGUCCUGCCAAGGACCUGGAAUACAACCAAACACUUUUCAAAAAGAAAAACUUUCUCCCAUCCGGUUCAUGUGGAUGUCUAACCAUGUUUUGUGCUGGAAAUUCUAAAGGUUCGUCUUCUUCGCCCCAAGUUGUGACAUGCCUGGAGCUGUGGGGGGUGGUGUGAGGCCGGGACGAGCCACGGGGCCACCUGCCCGCCCUGUGCUGUGCUCCGGGGCUGGCGGCUCCAGCCGGGAUUCGGGAUGACCCCUCCUGCCAAUCCGCCGCUGAGCGGGUCUGGACCCUCAUCUGCAAGGACUCGGGUCUUUAAUAUCGCGAAGGCCGGGUGCGCGUGGGCGACCUGCCCCCUGGUGACCAGGGGAGGUGACGGGCGUAGAGGGGACAGGGCGACCGCCCAUCAGGUUGGAGGCUCUGCCCCUGGAUCCGAAGCCUGGCUGCCCUGGGCCCUGCGCUCAGUCGCACUUGAAUAUUUCUACGUGUAGACGCGCAGGACGACCCCGAAAUGCGGGGACUCAACUUACCGAGCGAAGUUGCAGGUGCGUUUCCUGUGACACAGCAUCACAUGGGGGCGGAGGGACCCAGGAGGGGGUGCGGGCUGGUUGCUUCUGGAAGGUUUGAGAAAAGGCAUGUCGAGAGGAGCCUGUAAAGGCUUUAUCAUCUCCGCUCCGGGUUUCCACUCUCCGCGGAACCAUCUACAGGAGGGAGGCCCCAGAGGCUCCAGCAGGAGGAGCGUUUUCAGAGUUUCCUUCUAGAACCCGGGUGGGUGGGCCCUUGUCGGACAUCACGGGUGCACCUGCG
This 1269-nucleotide long non-coding RNA is filed under the name Vulpes vulpes (red fox). RNAcentral describes it as "lncRNA (ENSVVUG00000025011.1)". Lineage: Eukaryota; Metazoa; Chordata; Mammalia; Carnivora; Canidae. The record is from RNAcentral.